Molecule: transfer RNA, 85 nt
Filed under: Felis catus (domestic cat)
Lineage: Eukaryota; Metazoa; Chordata; Mammalia; Carnivora; Felidae
Also listed under: 4 other names
Rfam family: tRNA
About the family: Transfer RNA (tRNA) molecules are approximately 80 nucleotides in length. Their secondary structure includes four short double-helical elements and three loops (D, anti-codon, and T loops).
Source: Rfam by way of RNAcentral
GCCCGGGUGGCUCAGUUGGUUAAGCAUAUGACUUUGACUCAGGUCAUGAUCUCACAGUUUGUGGGUUUGAGCCCCACAUCGGGCU